RNAcentral lists this ribosomal RNA (468 nucleotides) under uncultured bacterium. Its description in RNAcentral is "partial 16S ribosomal RNA". It matches the Rfam family "Bacterial small subunit ribosomal RNA", at positions 28 to 523 of the family's 1533-position model. The record is from RNAcentral.
GAUGAACGCUGGCGGCGUGCCUAACACAUGCAAGUCGAGCGAUUUACUUCGGUAAAGAGCGGCGGACGGGUGAGUAACGCGUGGGUAACCUGCCCUGUACACACGGAUAACAUACCGAAAGGUAUGCUAAUACGAGAUAAUAUGCUUUUAUCGCAUGGUAGAAGUAUCAAAGCUUUUGCGGUACAGGAUGGACCCGCGUCUGAUUAGCUAGUUGGUAAGGUAACGGCUUACCAAGGCGACGAUCAGUAGCCGACCUGAGAGGGUGGUCGGCCACAUUGGAACUGGGACACGGUCCAAACUCCGACGGGAGGCAGCAGUGGCGAAUAUUGCACAAUGGGCGAAAGCCUGAUGCAGCAACGCCGCGUGAGCGAUGAAGGCCGUCGGGUCGUAAAGCUCUGUCCUCAAGGAAGAUAAUGACGGUACUUGAGGAGGAAGCCCCGGCUAACUACGUGCCAGCAGCCGCCGUAA